GAUGAAGAACGCAGCGAAAUGCGAUAAGUAAUGUGAAUUGCAGAAUUCAGUGAAUCAUCGAAUCUUUGAACGCACAUUGCGCCCGCUAGUAUUCUGGCGGGCAUGCCUGUUCGAGCGUCAUUUCAACCCUCAAGCCUCGCUUGGUAUUGGGCAACGCGGUCCGCCGCGUGCCUCAAAUCGACCGGCUGGGUCUUCUGUCCCCUAAGCGUUGUGGAAACUAUUCGCUAAAGGGUGUUCGGGAGGCUACGCCGUAAAACAACCCCAUUUCUAAGGUUGACCUCGGAUCAGGUAGGGAUACCCGCUGAACUUAAGCAUAUCAAUAAGCGGAGGA
Molecule: unclassified non-coding RNA, 331 nt
Filed under: soil metagenome
Description: partial contains 5.8S ribosomal RNA, internal transcribed spacer 2, and large subunit ribosomal RNA
Rfam family: 5.8S ribosomal RNA (bases 1-120)
Source: RNAcentral